UACGAAGGGGGCUAGCGUUGUUCGGAUUUACUGGGCGUAAAGCGCACGUAGGCGGAUCUUUAAGUCAGAGGUGAAAUCCCAAGGCUCAACCUUGGAACUGCCUUUGAUACUGGGGAUCUCGAGUUCGGGAGAGGUGAGUGGAACUGCGAGUGUAGAGGUGAAAUUCGUAGAUAUUCGCAAGAACACCAGUGGCGAAGGCGGCUCACUGGACUGUAACUGACGCUGAGUCACGAAAGCGUGGGGAGCGAACAGG
Molecule: ribosomal RNA, 253 nt
Filed under: uncultured bacterium
Lineage: Bacteria
Description: partial 16S ribosomal RNA
Rfam family: Bacterial small subunit ribosomal RNA
Source: RNAcentral